This 272-nucleotide ribosomal RNA is filed under the name uncultured bacterium. Its description in RNAcentral is "partial 16S ribosomal RNA". It matches the Rfam family "Bacterial small subunit ribosomal RNA", at positions 523 to 796 of the family's 1533-position model. The record is from RNAcentral.
AUACGGAGGGUGCAAGCGUUACUCGGAAUCACUGGGCGUAAAGCGCGCGCAGGCUCUUUUAAGUUGGGUGUGAAAGCCUACGGCUCAACCGUAGAACUGCAUCCAAAACUAUUUGGCUAGAGUGUGGGAGAGGAAGAUGGAAUUAGUUGUGUAGGGGUAAAAUCCGUAGAGAUAACUAGGAAUACCAAAAGCGAAGGCAAUCUUCUGGAACAUUACUGACGCUGAGGCGCGAAAGCGUGGGGAGCAAACAGAAUUAGAAACCCCGGUAGUCC